UGGGCUCGCGUCCGAUUAGCUAGUUGGUGGGGUAAUGGCCUACCAAAGCAACGAUGGGUAGCCGGCCUGAGAGGGUGACCGGCCACACUGGGACUGAGACACGGCCCAGACUCCUACGGGAGGCAGCAGUGGGGAAUAUUGGGCAAUGGGGGAAACCCUGACCCAGCAACGCCGCGUGAGGGAAGAAGGUCUUCGGAUCGUAAACCUCUGUCCUUAGUGAAGAGAAGAAGACGGUAGCUAAGGAGGAAGCCCCGGCUAACUACGUGCCAGCAGCCGCGGUAAUACGUAGGGGGCGAGCGUUGUCCGGAAUUACUGGGCGUAAAGGGUGCGUAGGCGGCUGAUUAAGUCUGGAGUGAAAGUCCUGCUUUCAAGGUGGGAAUUGCAUUUGAAACUGAAGGGCUCGAGUGCAAGAGAGGGAAGUGGAAUUCCUAGUGUAGCGGUGAAAUGCGUAGAUAUUAGGAGGAACACCAGUGGCGAAGGCGACUUUCUGGACUGUAACUGACGCUGAGGCACGAAAGCGUGGGGAGCAAACAGGAUUAGAUACCCUGGUAGUCCACGCCGUAAACUAUGAUUACUAGUUGUUGGCGAUACAUUGCCUGCAGUGCCGAAGCUAACGCAUUAAGUACUCCGCCUGGGGAGUACGGUCGCAAGACUGAAACUCAAAGGAAUUGACGGGGGCCCGCACAAGCGGAGGAGCAUGUGGUUUAAUUCGAUGAUACGCGAGGAACCUUACCUGGGCUCGAACGUAUAGGGAAUUAUGCAAAGGUAUAAGCCAGCAAUGGCCGUAUACGAGGUGCUGCAUGGUUGUCGUCAGCUCGUGCCGUGAGGUGUUAGGUUAAGUCCUGCAACGAGCGCAACCCUUACCUUUAGUUGCCAGCAUGUAAUGAUGGGGACUCUAAAGGAACUGCCUACGCAAGUAGUGAGGAAGGUGGGGAUGACGUCAAAUCAGCACGGCCCUUAUGUCCAGGGCGACACACGUGCUACAAUGGCCGAUACAAAGGGCAGCAACACAGCGAUGUGAAGCCAAUCCCAAAAAUCGGUCUCAGUUCGGAUCAGAGUCUGCAACUCGACUCCGUGAAGUCGGAUUCGCUAGUAAUCGCGCAUCAGCCAUGGCGCGGUGAAUACGUUCCCGGGCCUUGUACACACCGCCCGUCA
RNAcentral lists this ribosomal RNA (1155 nucleotides) under uncultured bacterium. Its description in RNAcentral is "bacterial SSU rRNA". It matches the Rfam family "Bacterial small subunit ribosomal RNA", at positions 226 to 1399 of the family's 1533-position model. The record is from RNAcentral.